AAGGUAGCAUAAUCAUUUGUCCUUUAAUUGGGGACUAGUAUGAAAGGCAAGACGAAGGCUUAACUGUCUCCUGUUUCAAAAAAGAAAUUAGUAUAUUUGUGAAGAAACAAAAAUAUUGACGCAAGACGAGAAGACCCUAUCGAGCUUAAAACUCAUUUAAGUAAAGAAAAGAAUAAAAGCUAAUAUAUCAAAUUUACUAAAAUUAAUCUUAAACUUAAAAAUUUUUGGUUGGGGCAACCGCGAAGAAAAAAAAACCUUCGCCAAAAUAAAAAAAUAAACAAAUUAAAAAGUUAAAAAACUUAUAAAUGAUCCAGUAAAACUGAACAAGGAAAAAAGUUACCGUAGGGAUAACAGCGUUAUUUUCUCUAAGAGCUCAUAUUGACGAGAAAGUUUGCGACCUCGAUGUUGGAUCGGGGCCUCCUAGAGGUGCAGCAGCCUCUAAAGGCGGGUCUGUUCGACCCCUAAGGCCCUACGUGAU
Molecule: ribosomal RNA, 478 nt
Filed under: Crinoidea sp. NHM_008
Lineage: Eukaryota; Metazoa; Echinodermata; Crinoidea
Description: partial 16S ribosomal RNA
Rfam family: Bacterial large subunit ribosomal RNA
Source: RNAcentral